GGUGAGGUGGCCGAGUUGGUUAUGGCGCCAGGUUAAGGUUACCUUAAUAUCUGCUUCCUGGUGGGGCAACCCGCGCGAGUUCGAGUCUCGUCCUCAUCA
This is a non-coding RNA of Phyllosticta citriasiana, 99 nucleotides long. NCBI's taxonomy places the organism in Eukaryota, Fungi, Ascomycota, Dothideomycetes, Botryosphaeriales, Phyllostictaceae. The record is from the annotation of a GenBank genome assembly.